UAUGCAGCCCUUUUGAGUUUCAAGAUGGUGCAACUUCCGUGUGUCCGUACUUUAAAGUAUGCAAAUUUGGAAGGUGCUGGUGAUUGCACACCAAGGAUUACAUGUUAGAAAAAAAUGAAGCUUCCAAGAAAACAGGUGUGACUGGAUCCAAUAAUCCGGAGGUGGGGCCACGUAUGUACAGUGAACAGAGGAACAGUGGCAGUAGCAGCGAGUAGAUGACGAAAAUGAUGUAGGAACUUGAAAAUUGAGAUGCCAGUUUGGAUGUACUUGAGGAGGCAUGGAAUUGAGAGCAGAUGGUGAAGAUGGUGAAGAUGGCUCUAGUGGUGCUGGUGGCUCUGGUGGUGCUGGUGGCUACUCGGGGACUUUGGAUUCAAGCACAAGCACAUCCGACAUCCGACAUGGACUGUCGAAAGAGAGCUGCUAUGAUGUGUAUACUGAAGGUUCAAGAAAAGUUUCUCCUUCCCCAAUCCAUAAUGGAUAUGAUCACGAAAGAUAUCACUCUCUUCAUCCAAGACCUCCUCUUAGACCUUGGUGAUGAUGUAUGUGCCUCCCUCACUGCUAGUGGAUGUGACCCUGGUUCUGUUUCUGGAUUAUUUCACUCAAGUUCUGCCUAUGCGAACCCUUUUGUAGGGGUGGAGUCCCAGCACAUGCAGAUGAAAUAUUGCAGAGAAGUACUUGGAAUUGUGGAACCUCACUCGGUGUUAUACUGGGUACUAAGAAACAGUGGAAGGGCACAGGGAAAAAGAGAGCAUAUAUCGAGGUUCCCAAUUUUGGAGACUAUUCAAUCGCUUCUGAAGGAUCCGAACGUGUUGAAAUUGGUAUGUGCAAUUGGUUCCUGUGUAUGGAUUACAUGUUGAAACUGGCCACAAGUCCACUGAUGGGGACUAUUAUGACGGGAACCACUUUUCUUCUCACCGUCCCACACUCUAGACAGUAAAUUCUUGCACAUUUUCUUAUAAUUAUUCAGAUGAUGUUGAAGUUUUGGCUCCAGGCGUAUCAUCCACAAGCUCAGUGAGUUAUUUAGGGUGUGUACGUACGUGUACUUAGUACAGUCCUCCUCUUCGUUUUGUGCUCGGCAAUAUCCCACCUAUUUUUCGAUCAAAGUUAAAGUACAUCCAACUUGCUGGUAUAGCCAAGACUGAGCAUUUGAAAGCCUAUGGUUCCAAUGCCAUCCUAAAACCCUUGGUUGAUGAUAUCAAGAAACUGAAUGGUGUGUUGAAGAAGAAGUAUGGAACAGUGUGCGUUGUACCAGCUGAUAACUUGGCUGCAAACCUGAAACUGAGAUGAAAGCCAUUUUUAGAGAAUCAGCGUUCACACUACGCACUCAUUUAGAGAAGUGUUCAAGGCUUGAUGUUACUACAACUCAGCGUGAGUAUCAGAAGUUAUCAACAGAGUACGGUACCUCGCUGCUGAACGAAUUGGAGUAUUUCAAUGUGUGUUCUGGUGGUAUUAUUCAAGAUGUCAUGCACGACGUACUCGAAGGUGUUCUUGAAUACGAAACACUGAUUCAUCACAUUAAAGUGGAAGGGCUCCUUCAACUGGUGAAUCAAAAAAUAGCAGCAUUGGACCUUGGCUACAUGGAGGCAAAAGAAAAGAUCACCCAUCCACUGUUACCUCUACCACACUUGAUGGUGUAGACCACAAGUUGAAACAAAAAGCUGUUCAAAUGUGGCUUGGCCAUUUAGUACCUGCUGACGAUGAGAGAUCGUAGAUCUACUACUUGCACCUGAGUUGACUGAGGAUGAAGCUGUCACCCUAGCUAGCUUCACCCUAGCUUCAAUGAUAGCGGAUCAUCACAAUGAAUUCAAGCAUCUGUAUCCACGCUCUUCCAUCACACCCAAGCUUGUACAUAUGCCAAGGUUAAUUCUUCAAUAUGGACCUCUUCGUCAGCUAUGGACAAUGCGAAAUGCGAUUUGACAUUCCUACUUCAAAACACUUUCACAACAUAUAGGAAAUUUUAAUCUUCCUCUCACUCUUGCUCGUCGCCACCAGAGACUACAAUGCUAUAGCUCGUCUGACUUGACGAACUAUUCAUCUCACGUUAUAAACACUGGACCAGGUAACAUUAUGCUUCUGGAAUGUGCACCUGAAGCAGGAGAAAGGAGAGGUAAAUGUUUUGUCAAUAAUAAUUAUUAUGAUAUUCAUGUCAAUUCUACGGGUUGAAGUAAACGGAGUCCUGAAAAAACCUAAGAAAGUUUUUUUGAAGUUCAACUUCUUGAAGUCAGUUUUGUGAACACUUUCAUUGUUUUUUGAAAUAACUCACACCCCUUUUGUUUAUGUUUCAAGUGACUCACUAUUAUCACCAAUUCCUCAUCACGUGAGAGGUACUCUUUGUAUUGUUCCUUUGCAUCAUUUUGUAAUUGAUGAAGUGUAAUUUUUAUGUUAUGAUUAUUGUG
Halichondria panicea is the source of this 2396-nucleotide RNA transcript. RefSeq lists it as uncharacterized. Lineage: Eukaryota; Metazoa; Porifera; Demospongiae; Suberitida; Halichondriidae. The record is from RefSeq and is a predicted model, not a curated record. The transcript is spliced from 10 exons.